This 541-nucleotide ribosomal RNA is filed under the name uncultured archaeon. Its description in RNAcentral is "bacterial SSU rRNA". It matches the Rfam family "Bacterial small subunit ribosomal RNA", at positions 509 to 1050 of the family's 1533-position model. The record is from RNAcentral.
CAGCCGCCGCGGUAAUACGUAGGGGGCGAGCGUUGUCCGGAAUUACUGGGCGUAAAGGGUGCGUAGGCGGAUAUGCAAGUCCGAUGUGAAAUGCGCCGGCUUAACCGGUGAGCUGCAUUGGAAACUGUAUAUCUAGAGUGCAGGAGAGGGAAGCGGAAUUCCUAGUGUAGCGGUGGAAUGCGUAGAUAUUAGGAGGAACACCAGUGGCGAAGGCGGCUUCCUGGACUGUAACUGACGCUGAGGCACGAAAGCUGGGGUAGCGAACAGGAUUAGAUACCCUGGUAGUCCCAGCCGUAAACGAUGGGUACUAGGUGUUGUCACUUCAUUGUGGCAGUGCCGUAGUUAACGCAAUAAGUACCCCGCCUGGGGAGUACGGCCGCAAGGCUGAAACUCAAAGGAAUUGACGGGGGCCCGCACAAGCGGUGGAGCAUGUGGUUUAAUUCGAAGCAACGCGAAGAACCUUACCAGGGCUUGACAUCCCCCUGACAGCUUUAGAGAUAGGGCUUCUCUUCGGAGCAGGGGAGACAGGUGGUGCAUGGCC